GACGAACGCUGGCGGCGUGCUUAACACAUGCAAGUCGAACGGUAAGGCCCUUCGGGGUACACGAGUGGCGAACGGGUGAGUAACACGUGGGUGAUCUGCCCUGCACUUCGGGAUAAGCCUGGGAAACUGGGUCUAAUACAGGAUAGGACUCCGGAAUGCAUGGUCUGGGGUGGAAAGCUUUUGCUGUGUGGGAUGGGUCCGCGGCCUAUCAUCUUGUUGGUGGGGUGAUGGCCUACCAAGGCGACGACGGGUACCCGGCCUGAGAGGGUGACCGGCCACACUGGGACUGAGAUACGGCCCAGACUCCUACGGGAGGCAGCAGUGGGGAAUAUUGCACAAUGGGCGCAAGCCUGAUGCAGCGACGCCGCGUGAGGUAUGACGGCCUUCGGGUUGUAAACCUCUUUCAGCAUCGACGAAGCGAAAGUGACGGUAGGUGCAGAUGAAGGACCGGCCAACUACGUGCCAGCCGCCGCAGUAA
RNAcentral lists this ribosomal RNA (478 nucleotides) under uncultured bacterium. Its description in RNAcentral is "partial 16S ribosomal RNA". It matches the Rfam family "Bacterial small subunit ribosomal RNA", at positions 28 to 523 of the family's 1533-position model. The record is from RNAcentral.